UUUAAAUAGAAAAAUAUUAUCAUGGAUGUUGUGAUAAUUGUACAAAAUGAUCAUCAUAAAUGUUAAAUUCGUGUCAUUAUGGAAUAUUCGAGUAGAUGCAUUGUAUUGAUUUACAUUCUGAAAUUGCUACCUUAGCGAUCGCGAAAAUACUGGUACAUUCCAUAGAUGAUUCAUUGCCGCCCUACCCCGUAUUAUUCGAGGCUACUGCAACGCUCUGCUUUUCUUUAUUUUUAUUAUCGACGAUUCUUGUGCAAGGUUGUAUUCUCUCACAACGUAUCCGGCGCCUUUUAUAGCAAACAGAUAUUCCCUUCAAGUUUGGACCUUCAAACGACAAGACGAAAGCGCUACAUGGUCGACUUGGUUUUUUGAUUCACCAUCGUUAAACAUUAGUCAGCAUCCAGAAUUUGGUUGCUUGCCAAACUCUCCUCCUUGGGGCUUAUCACGAAUACCAAAAUGGAGAUUGACCGCCGCCAUUAUCUUUCAGUGGAAAAUCAUUUCUAUUGAGAGUAUAUGAUAAACGUUACACUUACUAUUCGUUCUAAUAAAUUAAACUAACCAAUCAUGUGUGUAUCUAUUUAUCUAUCUAUCUCUUUCACUUUCUUUUUUGAAUGCAUGUAAUUCAAAACGAACUUGACUUUUAUUAACCUAUCCUAUUAGACACGAUGAUCUUCCAUCGUAACAUAUUUAUCUGAAAAUGACCAUGUAUCAUGACAUACGUAAAUAUAUAUCCACGAAUAUAUGUAUUUUCAUAACGACCGUGCCUUCGAGGGUGCAACAAGGUGUUUUUAGACAGAGCACGAUGAUUGGACGUAGGCCAAGUGCACUAGGAACAAGGUUUCAUAAUCUAAUACACUUAGCAUGACUUUACUGAUGACUUCAAUGUGAUAUCAAAUUGUAAUUUCUAAUGAAUUUAGAUGUAAAAACAAUUCUGAUUAAAAAACACUUUCCCAAUAAA
Molecule: long non-coding RNA, 955 nt
Organism: Polistes dominula (European paper wasp)
Lineage: Eukaryota; Metazoa; Arthropoda; Insecta; Hymenoptera; Vespidae
Source: RefSeq, a predicted model, not a curated record